This 424-nucleotide ribosomal RNA is filed under the name Austraeolis stearnsi. RNAcentral describes it as "partial 16S ribosomal RNA". It matches the Rfam family "Bacterial large subunit ribosomal RNA", at positions 1841 to 2597 of the family's 2925-position model. The record is from RNAcentral. Lineage: Eukaryota; Metazoa; Mollusca; Gastropoda; Nudibranchia; Facelinidae.
AUAUUUCUGGUUUAACCUGCCCAAUGUGAAAAUCAAUGGCCGCGGUACCCUGACCGUGCUAAGGUAGCGUAAUCAUUUGACUUUUAAAUGGAGUCAGGUAUGAAUGGAAGAACCGGGUUUAGCUGUCUCUAAAUUAAUUAAUUGAAUUUACUGUUUAAGUGAAAAAGCUUAAUUUAGGUAAAGGGACGAGAAGACCCUUAGAAUUUUUUUUAAUGAGUGAGUUUACUAUGUGAUUUUGUUGGGGCGACAAAGAGAUAAAUAAAAACUUUCUUUUCUAAACAAGACGAAUUUUUUAUUAAGAAAGACUAAAUUACCUGAGGGAUAACAGCAUAAUUCUACAGUUGAGUUUGUGACCUCGAUGUUGGAUUAGGGAACUAGCAGGCUAGCCGUUUGUUGUGUGGGUUCUGUUCGAACUUUAAUCCCU